This 119-nucleotide ribosomal RNA is filed under the name Gallus gallus (chicken). Lineage: Eukaryota; Metazoa; Chordata; Aves; Galliformes; Phasianidae. The record is from RNAcentral.
GCCUACGGCCAUCCCACCCAGGUAACGCCCGAUCUCGUCUGAUCUCGGAAGCUAAGCAGGGUCGGGCCUGGUUAGUACUUGGAUGGGAGACCUCCUGGGAAUACCGGGUGCUGUAGGCU